GAGACGCGAAGAACCUUACCUGGCCUUGACAUAGAAAGAACUUACUAGAGAUAGUUUGGUGCUAGCUUGCUAGAACUUUCANACAGGUGCUGCACGGCUGUCGUCAGCUCGUGUCGUGAGAUGUUGGGUUAAGUCCCGCAACGAGCGCAACCCUCGUGUUUAGUUACUAACAGUUCGGCUGAGGACUCUAGACAGACUGCCUGGGUAACCAGGAGGAAGGUGAGGACGACGUCAAGUCAUCAUGGCCCUUACGGCCAGGGCUACACACGUGCUACAAUGGGGUAUACAAAGAGCCGCAAUACCGCGAGGUGGAGCAAAUCUCAUAAAAUAUCUCCCAGUUCGGAUUGAAGUCUGCAACUCGACUACAUGAAGUUGGAAUCGCUAGUAAUCGUGAAUCAGGAAUGUCACGGUGAAUACGUUCCCGGGUCUUGUACUCACCACCC
RNAcentral lists this ribosomal RNA (443 nucleotides) under uncultured Campylobacterota bacterium. RNAcentral describes it as "bacterial SSU rRNA". It matches the Rfam family "Bacterial small subunit ribosomal RNA", at positions 956 to 1395 of the family's 1533-position model. The record is from RNAcentral. Lineage: Bacteria; Pseudomonadati; Campylobacterota.